Non-coding RNA from Microtus oregoni (creeping vole), 420 nucleotides. The record is from the annotation of a RefSeq genome assembly. Lineage: Eukaryota; Metazoa; Chordata; Mammalia; Rodentia; Cricetidae.
AUGGCUGUCCUGGUGCUGCUCCUCUGCCUGGUGACAUUUCCAAGCUGUGCCCUGUCCCAGAUACAGCUGAAGGAGUCAGGACCUGGCCUAGUGCAGCCAUCACAGACCCUGUCACUCACUUGCACUGUUUCUGGGUUCUCAUUAACCAGCUCUAGUGUAAGGUGGAUCUGCCAACCUCCAGGAGAAGGUCUGGAGGAGAUGGGAGCAAUAUGGGAUGGUGGAAGCAGGGACUAUAAAUCAUCUCUCCAGUCCCGAAUCACCAUAACCAGGGACACCUACAAGAGCCAAAUUUUCUUAAAACUGAACAGUCUGCAAACUGAGGACACAGCCAUGUAUUACUGUGCCAAAAGCACAUUAUGGUCACUUGAUAAGUUCACUGCAUUGUUCACGGGCCACUGGCCUUUGUUGCAAUUGAACUGA